RNAcentral lists this transfer RNA (78 nucleotides) under Ensifer meliloti. RNAcentral describes it as "Sinorhizobium meliloti tRNA-Leu". The record is from RNAcentral. Lineage: Bacteria; Pseudomonadati; Pseudomonadota; Alphaproteobacteria; Hyphomicrobiales; Rhizobiaceae.
GCCGCCUUAGCCCACGUUGGUAGAGGCAGCAGUUUCAAACGCUGUUCAGGGCCGGUUCGACGCCGGCAGGCGGCACCA